UAUAGGUUAGUUUAACGGUAGAACUUUGGUCUUCCAAACCAAGAAUGCAGGUUCGACUCCUGCACCUAGGA
RNAcentral lists this transfer RNA (71 nucleotides) under Monoblepharella sp. JEL15. RNAcentral describes it as "tRNA-Gly". It matches the Rfam family "tRNA". From Rfam's summary of the family: Transfer RNA (tRNA) molecules are approximately 80 nucleotides in length. Their secondary structure includes four short double-helical elements and three loops (D, anti-codon, and T loops). Lineage: Eukaryota; Fungi; Monoblepharomycota; Monoblepharidomycetes; Monoblepharidales; Monoblepharidaceae. The record is from RNAcentral.